This 374-nucleotide ribosomal RNA is filed under the name uncultured organism. Its description in RNAcentral is "partial 16S ribosomal RNA". It matches the Rfam family "Bacterial small subunit ribosomal RNA", at positions 527 to 896 of the family's 1533-position model. The record is from RNAcentral.
GUAGGUGGCAAGCGUUGCCCGGAAUUAUUGGGCGUAAAGCGCGCGCAGGUGGUUCUUUAAGUCUGAUGUGAAAGCCCCCGGCUCAACCGGGGAGGGUCAUUGGAAACUGGGGAACUUGAGUGCAGGAGAGGAAAGUGGAAUUCCACGUGUAGCGGUGAAAUGCGUAGAUAUGUGGAGGAACACCAGUGGCGAAGGCGACUUUCUGGCCUGUAACUGACACUGAGGCGCGAAAGCGUGGGGAGCAAACAGGGAUUAGAUACCCUGGUAGUCCACGCCGUAAACGAUGAGUGCUAAGUGUUGGGGGGGUUUCCCGCCCCUCAGUGCUGCAGCUAACGCAUUAAGCACUCCGCCUGGGGAGUACGGUCGCAAGACUG